RNAcentral lists this ribosomal RNA (360 nucleotides) under Enterococcus faecium. Its description in RNAcentral is "bacterial SSU rRNA". It matches the Rfam family "Bacterial small subunit ribosomal RNA", at positions 1109 to 1469 of the family's 1533-position model. Lineage: Bacteria; Bacillati; Bacillota; Bacilli; Lactobacillales; Enterococcaceae. The record is from RNAcentral.
GCUUAGUUGCCAUCAUUAAGUUGGGCACUCUAAGUUGACUGCCGGUGACAAACCGGAGGAAGGUGGGGAUGACGUCAAAUCAUCAUGCCCCUUAUGAUUUGGGCUACACACGUGCUACAAUGGACAAUACAAAGGGCAGCGAAACCGCGAGGUCAAGCAAAUCCCAUAAAGUUGUUCUCAGUUCGGAUUGUAGUCUGCAACUCGACUACAUGAAGCUGGAAUCGCUAGUAAUCGUAGAUCAGCAUGCUACGGUGAAUACGUUCCCGGGUCUUGUACACACCGCCCGUCACACCACGAGAGUUUGUAACACCCGAAGCCGGUGGAGUAACCUUUUAGGAGCUAGCCGUCGAAGGUGGGACA